Molecule: ribosomal RNA, 490 nt
Filed under: uncultured bacterium
Lineage: Bacteria
Description: partial 16S ribosomal RNA
Rfam family: Bacterial small subunit ribosomal RNA
Source: RNAcentral
AGCGAACGCUGGCGGCAUGCCUAACACAUGCAAGUCGCACGGGUCGGCUUCGGCCGGUCAGUGGCGGACGGGUGAGGAACGCGUAGGGAUCUGUCCGCUGGUGGGGGAUAACCGCGGGAAACUGCGGCUAAGACCGCAUGGGGCGCCGGUGUGAGAGCCGGUGUCAAAGGCGCGCAUCGCGAGGUGUGUGUCGCCGGGGGGUGAGCCUGCGUCCGAUUAGCUGGUUGGCGGGGGAAGGGCCUACCAAGGCGUCGAGCGGUAGCCGGUCUGAGAGGGUGGUCGGCCACACUGGAACUGCGACACGGUGCAGACUCCUACGGUAGGCAGCAGUAGGGAAUGUUGCGCAAUGGGCGGAGGCGUGACGGAGCAACGCCGCGUGGGUGGUGAAGGGCUUCGGAUCGGAAAGCUCUGUUAUUAGGGAAGAACAUAUGUGUAAGUAACUGUGCGCAUCUUGACGGUACCUAAUCAGAAAGCCACGGCUAACUACGUG